UAAUACAGAGGUCUCAAGCGUUGUUCGGAAUCACUGGGCGUAAAGGGUGCGUAGGCCGCACGGUAAGUCAGAGGUGAAAUCCCGGAGCUCAACUCCGGAAUGGCCUCCGAUACUGCCGUGCUCGAGGACUGGAGAGGAGUCUGGAAUUCACAGUGGAGCAGUGAAAUGCGUAGAUAUUGUGAGGAACACUAGUGGCGAAGGCGAGACUCUGGACAGUUCCUGACGCUGAGGCACGAAGGCCAGGGGAGCAAACGGGAUUAGAUACCCCGGUAGUCCUGGCAGUAAACGGUGCACGCUUGGUGUGGCAGGAUUCGACCCCUGCCGUGCCGGAGCUAACGCGUUAAGCGUGCCGCCUGGGAAGUACGGUCGCAAGAUUA
RNAcentral lists this ribosomal RNA (377 nucleotides) under uncultured bacterium. RNAcentral describes it as "bacterial SSU rRNA". It matches the Rfam family "Bacterial small subunit ribosomal RNA", at positions 521 to 896 of the family's 1533-position model. The record is from RNAcentral.